GAUCACCCUGAGGGGUUUUGGGGGGGUUUCCUGGAGGUUUGGGAUCACCCCUGAGGGGUUUUGGGGGGUUUUCCUGGAGGUUUGGGAUCUCCCCGGGGGGUUUUGGGGUUUUUUCCUGGAGAUUUGGGAUCUCCCCGAGGGGUUUUAGGUUUUUGUCCUGGAGGUUUGGGAUCACCCUGAGGGGUUUUGGGGUUUUUUCCUGGAGGUUUGGGAUCACCCCGAGGGGUUUUGGGGGAGUUUCCUGGAGCUUUGGGAUCACCCUGAGGGGUUUUUGGGAGGGUUUCCUGGAGAUUUGGGACACCCCCAAGGGGGUUUCGGGGGGGUUUUUCCUGGAAGUUUAGGAUCCCCCUGGGGGGGGUGUGGGCAGCCCCAGGACUCCUCAGUCUCCCGGAAAGUGGGGAUUGAACCCCCCUGGACACCCCCGGAUCCCUUUUCGGGGGGAUUUGGGAGCUCCUGGAUCCCUGGCAACGGAGGCUUUGUCCCCGUGGCCACCUGGAUCCCUCUUCGGGAGGAGCAUUUGGGACUCCCCAAACCCCCCAAAUCCCCGGAAAUCGAGAUUUUUUGGGAUCCUCUGGACACCUGAAUCAUGGGGAACGCGAGUUUCGGGGAUCACCCCAGUCCUUGGCAACCGCGGAUAUUACCCCCCCCUCCA
Corvus hawaiiensis (hawaiian crow) is the source of this 652-nucleotide long non-coding RNA. RefSeq lists it as uncharacterized. NCBI's taxonomy places the organism in Eukaryota, Metazoa, Chordata, Aves, Passeriformes, Corvidae. The transcript is spliced from 2 exons. The record is from RefSeq and is a predicted model, not a curated record.